GGCCACAGCCAUAUCACCCUGCUACCCAAGAGCGGUUACUCUCUGCAGCUAAGCAGAGCUGAGCUUGGUUGUUCCUGGAUGUGAGGCCACAUGGGAACACUUGGUCGCUGUUGAAA
Ribosomal RNA from Danio rerio (zebrafish), 116 nucleotides. Lineage: Eukaryota; Metazoa; Chordata; Actinopteri; Cypriniformes; Danionidae. The record is from Ensembl.